Molecule: long non-coding RNA, 3877 nt
Filed under: Triticum aestivum (bread wheat)
Lineage: Eukaryota; Viridiplantae; Streptophyta; Magnoliopsida; Poales; Poaceae
Description: long non-coding RNA (TAES_LNC000805)
Source: RNAcentral
ACGCUUUGCAGUUGUAGACUUCUAUGUUUUUGUUAUUUUUCUUUCUUGAAGGACCUUAGGCCUAUGAUUUCCUCUUAGGUCUUUUAUCUACUUCUCUAGUGAAGCCAGUGCCUUCAUGAUAACCAUCAUCAUUAUUAGUAGUAUGUGGAUUACCAUAUAUAUUCUCAAAUAGCAUAGGGCUGACAUCUCUUGUCCCUAGCUCAGUGGAUGAAUUCGUCUUAGAUGACAUAUAAAAACUUGAGAAACAUAGAUUGUUGUCAUGAUUUUUUUACUGGACCAUCUUUGUAAAGCAACCUUUCCUUUAUCCUGGCAGUAAAUUCUAUAAUCCCUUUUACCCUUGACUGAGUUUUGUGUGUUGAGGCUUCUCUGUUCUUUUAUCACAACUGCUGGAUGUGGAAGAUGCCUUUUUAUUGGAACAUCUUUGUAACGCAACUUUUCCUCUUAUCCUGGCCGUAAAUUCUACGAUCGAACAAUUCAAUUAAUACUGAUUAUGUGGAUUAAUGAGACAAUAAGAAAGGUGACUCCAAUUAGUAAAUAUAUAUAAGAUAUAAGAUUGCAGUUUUAAGUGUGAACUCAAGCGGCCUAUCCAAAUUUAUGAAAACAAGAUGAGUGGUGCUGGGAAAAAUGUAUAUUCACUUUCUUGUACAAAUGUAAUGGACCAACAUUUGCAUCAUCAGAACAAAAAAAAUCAACUUCUUCAAGAGGUACCUGUACAUAAGACCAACUCAUAAGCAUAUCUUUUAUGUCACAUAAGAUAUCUUGAUUAGCAAUGCUGACCAUAAAAGUGUAUCAUUCCUAAAGAGAGAUUUCCCGAGUAGUCAAAGUCCAAGUAUAGUAUGUCGGUAAUAGUAAGGAUUCGUACUACUAAUUUGAUUGUACAGUAAGUGUCAUAUGGUGCCAGCUAAAAAAAGGAUGGAUACCCCUAACAUAGAGGGUGUUGUGAACUAAUGCCUUAAAUAACAUAGAGCUUACCAAUAGAAUUUUUUUAAAUAUUUCUUAAUUUUUUCAUGAUAUUUAAAAUUUUUCCACAAGUUUAAAUUGUGUUCCUUGCAUUUUUUAUCAAAACAUGAAAUGUAAAAAUUUAGUUUGCAUAAUAUUUCAUGAAAUUCCUGACGUACCAUUAAAAAUGUUAUUCGCAUAAUUGUACAAAAACUUUAUAAUUUGAAAAAAUGUUUAUGAAAUAUUUAGAUUUUCCACACCUUUAAAAAACCCUCUUCCCAUUCUUUAAGAAAACAUGAAUUAAAUGUAAAAGUUUGUCAGCGUAAAUAUUCGAUCUCACAUAUAUUCAACCCUAUAUGCACUCGGAUGAAACCCUAGCCGCACUCCACUCCACUCUACUCCCCUCCACUUCCCUCCACCCACAAGCUUAUUAUUUCCUGCGAUCUCUAUCCGUCUUCGACAUGGCGGGUAGCUCAUAUGAGUCUUACACCUCCCAAUCCUUGACUAUUGGGAAGUCGUCCCACGAGACCCCGAGGAGGAGAUGUCCGUCUGUGUUGCGCUCCGCCACUCAUGGGAGGAGUCCGCCCGACAACAAUCGGACUCGAUCCAGCGGGAAUCCAUUCCGUCUGUCCAAAUGAUGCAUGGAUCUGGCGCGAGGUGCUUCGUCGUUGCCUCGUGGGCGGUAGUGCAGUCCAUGUAUUAAUCGAACACCUUGGCGGAGAUGCUUAUCAAUUUAGAACCAACUUAAAAUUUCUAUAAACAGAAGGUUCGGUGGAAUGCGUGCUAGGUGUGAUAGUUUCUUCUUCUUUAGAAACAAGAUGUGUUAGUUUAGGGGGUUAAAUAUUAUUGGUUGCCUUAAUUUUGUAGUAGUGAGCCUCAAUGCGCAUAUUGCAGGCGCAAACCAGAACAUGCGCUCUUGCCUUGUCUGUGUGCACCGCGCUUGGUCUCGCCUCAAAAUAAAAAUAAAGAAAAUGUUAGCUAAGCGACAAAGAUGGCAGCGGUGGCGGCCCGUUAGGUGGUGGAGAAGGCGCAUCACGUCGGAGGAUGGUCCAAGGAAUGGGCGCACAUCGACGUACGUCCGGGCGUCGGUACAGCAGCCGGGCCUAGGGAUGCAGUAGGCAACCACAGCAAGCGGCAAACCCAUUCCUUCUCAGUUCGUGUGCUCGUCUUUUGAACUACAACAUGCGGUUAAUUUGGUUUCCUCUAUCAAACUGUACUUGUUCAUUCCCCUAAAAAAACACUAUACUUAUUCAUAUACUUACAAAAUUGGGACAACAUAGCUCGCUGAAACCAUUUCUUAAAUGAUGCAACCAUAAGAAUGUACAACCAAAAUGUUCAACAAUUCUUUUUUUAUUAAGGUCAGAGCCCAUGAUGAUGUCUGGUCAAAAUGUAAGAAUCUUGACAAAAAUAUCAACACAAAAGUAGAUCCAGGCGAUACAUGGUUCACAUGUCAAAUAUUCCAGUUCCUAUAUUUCGAAAUGUGUGGAGAACAUAUAUGAAUUUUAUAUUAUCGUGAAAUGUGUUUUCGAUAGUUUAGAUGAAGUGGCAGAUACGGAAUUUCGAUACCAUGAAGGCCUAGGUUAGUAAGAAAAUGUUUACAUAGUUCAGAAAAUAAGUUCAUGGCAUUUAUUAGAAAUUGUUUAUCAAAUGUAAAAUUUCAUUCACAUAACAAUAUCAAAAAUAUUUUAUUCAAUUUGUUUUGGUGAAAUUUAGAAAAUGUCCACACAUUUGAAAAAUGUUCCUCUCACUUACUAAAAAACAAGAAAUGUAAAAAUAUUCAGAGCGUAAUAUUUGAAUAAGUUCCUACCAUUAAAAAUCAGUAUAUUUAAAAAUAGUGAACAUUUUAAUAAAUAUGUCCAUGAAGUUAGUAUGAUGGCCUCCUUCUGAUAGAGGUUGGUUUGUUUGUGCAUGUAGUUCCUUUUUAUGGACAUAUUUUCUCUCACAAGUUGACUGGGUAUUCUUCUCCCUGGGAGGCUUUGCAAUUGUAGACUUCUGUGUUUUUUGUUAUUUUUCUUUCUUUAAGGACCUUAGGCCUAUGAUUUCCUCUUAGGUUUUUUUAGCUGCUUUUCUAGUGAAGCCAGUUCCUUCAUGAUAACCAUCAUCAUUAUUAGUAGUAUGUGGAUUACCAUAUAGAAUCUCGGAUAGCAUAGGGGUGACAUCUCUGGUCCCCAGCUCAAUGGAUGUAUUCAUCUUAGAUGACAGAUAAAAACUUGAGAAACAUAGAUUGUUGCCAUGAUUUUUUUACUGGACCAUCUUUGUAAAGCAACCUUUCCUUUAUCCUGGCAAUAAAUUCUAUAAUCCCUAUUUCCCUUGACUGAGUUUAUGCGUGGAGGCUUCUCUGUUCUUUUUUUCAAAACUGCUGGGUGUGGAAGAUGCUUUUUUAUUGGACCAUCUUUGUAACACAACUUUUACUCUUGUCCUGGCUGUAAGUUAUACGAUCGAACAAUUCAAUUAAUAUUGAUGAUUUGGAUUAAUGAGACAAUGAGAAAGGUGCCUCCAAUUAGUGAAUAUAUAUAAGAUAUAAGAUUGUAGUUUUAAGUGUGAACUCAGGCAGCCUAUCCAGAAUUAUCAAAACAAGAUGGGUGGUGCUGGGAAAAAUGUAUAUUCACUUUGUUGUACAAAUGUAAUGGAAUAGCAUUUGCAUCAUUAGAACAAAAAAAUCAACUUCCUGAAGAGGUACCAGUACAUAAGACCAGCUCAUAAGCAUAUCUUUUAUGUCACAUAGCAUAUCUUGAUUACCAAUGUUGACCAUACAAAUGUAUCAUUGCUAAAGAGAUUUCCCGAGUAGUCAAAGUCCAAGUAUAGUAUGUCGGUAAUAGUAAGGAUUUGUACUACUAAUUUGAUUGUACAGUAAGUGUCAUAUGGUGACAGCUAAAAAAAGGAUGGGUACACCUAGCAAAAAGGGUGUUUUGAACUAAUGCCUUAAAUAACAUAGAGC